RNAcentral lists this long non-coding RNA (213 nucleotides) under Arabidopsis lyrata. RNAcentral's name for it is "long non-coding RNA (ALYR_LNC000271)". The record is from RNAcentral. Lineage: Eukaryota; Viridiplantae; Streptophyta; Magnoliopsida; Brassicales; Brassicaceae.
AGUGUAUCCCAUAGCUCUUUAGAUGUCUCGCAAUAAGAGUACCCUUCCAAGAGUGAAGCCUCAAGAGAGCAAUGGAGAGCACUCAGAACCGUCAAGUCUUCUUGCGUCCAAGUCUCUUUGACCAAGCUUUCUUCCAAAGCUUUCGCUUCUUCAUAGGUAGACUCAAUGUAUCUUGUGAGCCUUCUCCCACCCAAUACAUUCGUCGUUGUUCUC